AGUGAACGCUGGCGGUAGGCCUAACACAUGCCAGUCGAACGGCAGCACAGUAAGAGCUUGCUCUUACGGGUGGCGAGUGGCGGACGGGUGAGGAAUACAUCGGAAUCUACUUUUUCGUGGGGGAUAACGUAGGGAAACUUACGCUAAUACCGCAUACGACCUACGGGUGAAAGCAGGGGAUCUUCGGACCUUGCGCGAUUGAAUGAGCCGAUGUCGGAUUAGCUAGUUGGCGGGGUAAAGGCCCACCAAGGCGACGAUCCGUAGCUGGUCUGAGAGGAUGAUCAGCAACACUGGAACUGAGACACGGUCCAGACUCCUACGGGAGGCAGCAGUGGGGAAUAUUGGACAAUGGGCGCAAGCCUGAUCCAGCCAUACCGCGUGGGUGAAGAAGGCCUUCGGGUUGUAAAGCCCUUUUGUUGGGAAAGAAAAGCAGCAGGUUAAUACCCCGCUGUUCUGACGGUACCCAAAGAAUAAGCACCGGCUAACUUCGU
RNAcentral lists this ribosomal RNA (491 nucleotides) under uncultured bacterium. Its description in RNAcentral is "partial 16S ribosomal RNA". It matches the Rfam family "Bacterial small subunit ribosomal RNA", at positions 29 to 506 of the family's 1533-position model. The record is from RNAcentral.